Long non-coding RNA from Macadamia integrifolia, 1052 nucleotides. RefSeq lists it as uncharacterized. Lineage: Eukaryota; Viridiplantae; Streptophyta; Magnoliopsida; Proteales; Proteaceae. The transcript has 6 exons. The record is from RefSeq and is a predicted model, not a curated record.
CAUAUUUCAACCGAGAUUUUCCAAAAUCGAAGACCUAACAGGGUCAUUAUAUUUCACGCCUUCACUCACUGGUUUCCCACGCAGUGAGCAACCAUUGUAAAUCUCCAAGAAAUCCGAUCAUCUUCCUUCCCAAAACUGAAACCCAAAAUCAGUGAGAGCAGCCGCUGUAAAUCUCCCUCAAAAUCGAUCAUCUUCCUUUCCGAAAGGUGAAACCCGAACUCAGAGUAAAGCCUUUCCGCCUUCACUCCCUGUUUCCCACGAAGUGAGAGCACCGCUGUAAAUCUCCCUCAAAAUCGAUCAUCUUCCUUUCCAAAAGGUGAAACCCGAACUCAGUGAGAGCAACCAUUGUCAAGAACCCCUGAAGAAACUCGAUCAUCUUUCUUCCCAAAAGCUGAAACCCUAAGUCAGGAAAAAAUGGAUGCAGAACUAGAAAAGAAAUCAGCAGAAGAACAGAUGGACAAUGAUGUGCAUGAGGAUAUCUUCACUAAAGUAAUGGGCCCUGAAGGUCAUGGAUGGGUGCGUUUAAUGGGAAGAGGGGUAAGCCCAAAGGAUUGGCGCCAGUCAUCACAAGACAUUGCUGAAAUUCGUCGGGAGAAUGUCGAGUUACGGAGUGAGGUGAAAUGUCUGAGAGAGCAGAACACAAAGCAUGAAGAGCUAAUAUCUACAAUGCAAUCUCAGCUCAAUAUGCUAAUGCAAAUUGUGGUAGGGAAGCAACAAGACGGUGCUCAGAACAUAGAGGCUGAAGUUGCUGUUGAAGGUUGACGCGCGUGUCUUAACUCUUGGGCCAAAUAUCUUUUUGUUUUGAAAUUUUUUGAUGAUAGAAAAGCUAAAAUUGUGUAUAUAGAUGAAUGGUUCAACUUAAGGAGAGUGCAUGUCAUGUUGGAGUUGUAUGUUGCUAUGAGUCUUCAUCUUAGAGGUGUCAAAGUUCCCUAUUGAAUAAUUUCUCUGAAAUAUUAGUUUUUGAGACGGGUUAUGUAAAUAUUAAGUCUUUGUAUGGAUUUCUUUCAUGUUAAUACUUUUGGAUGAUAUAAUUAUUAACUGUUGUUUGGUUA